Molecule: ribosomal RNA, 453 nt
Filed under: Astrothelium jiangxiense
Lineage: Eukaryota; Fungi; Ascomycota; Dothideomycetes; Trypetheliales; Trypetheliaceae
Description: partial large subunit ribosomal RNA
Rfam family: Eukaryotic large subunit ribosomal RNA
Source: RNAcentral
GAGUUGUAAUUUGCAGAGGAUGUUAUGGAAUCUGUGUGGACUCAAGUUCUUUGGAAAAAGACGCCAUGGAGAGUGACAGUCUCGUACUUUCCACCACAUUUUCCGUGUAUAACUCCUUCAAAGAGUCGAGUUGUUUGGGAAUGCAGCUCUAAGUGGGACGUAAAUUUGUUCCAAAGCUAAAUACCGGCUAGAGACCGAUAGCGCACAAGUAGAGUGAUCGAAAGAUGAAAAGCACUUUGAAAAGAGAGUCAAACAGCACGUGAAAUUGUUGAAAGGGAAGCUUAUGUCAUCAGAAAUGGUCUCAUUGUUCAGCCUUUUGGUGUAUUCAAUGAUGGCUAGGCUAGCAUCAGUUUGGACAGCUGGAUAAAAGUGUUGGAAAUGUAGCUCCCCCGGGAGUGUUAUAGUCUGAUACAGAAUGCAGCUCGUCCAGACUGAGGACCGCUUUAAGGAUGC